AUUGAACGCUGGCGGCAUGCCUUACACAUGCAAGUCGAACGGCAGCACGGGUGCUUGCACCUGGUGGCGAGUGGGGAACGGGUGAGUAAUACAUCGGAACGUACCUUAUCGUGGGGGAUAACGCAGCGAACGCUGUGCUAAUACCGCAUACGCCCUGAGGGGGAAAGCGGGGGAUCGCAAGACCUCGCGCGAUUAGAGCGGCCGAUGCCCGAUUAGCUGGUUGGUGGGGUAAAAGCCCACCAAGGCGACGAUCAGUAGCUGGUCUGAGAGGACGAUCAGCCACACUGGGACUGAGACACGGCCCAGACUCCUACGGGAGGCAGCAGUGGGGAAUUUUGGACAAUGGGGGCAACCCUGAUCAGCAAUGCCGCGUGAGUGAAGAAGGCCUUCGGGUUGUAAAGCUCUUUUGUCAGGGAAGAAACACCGGCUCUAACACAGUCCGGGAAUGACGGUACCUGAAGAAUAAGCACCGGCUAACUACGUGCCAGCCGCCGCCGUAA
Molecule: ribosomal RNA, 500 nt
Filed under: uncultured bacterium
Lineage: Bacteria
Description: partial 16S ribosomal RNA
Rfam family: Bacterial small subunit ribosomal RNA
Source: RNAcentral